UAAUAGGAAUAUAAAGCGGUGUCUCA
This 26-nucleotide small RNA is filed under the name Bombyx mori (domestic silkworm). RNAcentral describes it as "ovarian small RNA-19586". Lineage: Eukaryota; Metazoa; Arthropoda; Insecta; Lepidoptera; Bombycidae. The record is from RNAcentral.